CUUGAGAGUCUCCUGAAGGAACGUUGAAGACGACGACGUUGAUAGGCCGGGUGUGUAAGCGCAGCGAUGCGUUGAGCUAACCGGUACUAAUGAACCGUGAGGCUUAACCUUAC
This 113-nucleotide ribosomal RNA is filed under the name Escherichia coli J96. Its description in RNAcentral is "partial 23S ribosomal RNA". It matches the Rfam family "Bacterial large subunit ribosomal RNA", at positions 2815 to 2925 of the family's 2925-position model. Lineage: Bacteria; Pseudomonadati; Pseudomonadota; Gammaproteobacteria; Enterobacterales; Enterobacteriaceae. The record is from RNAcentral.